AGACCCGAAACCCGGUGAUCUAGCCAUGGGCAGGUUGAAGGUUGGGUAACACUAACUGGAGGACCGAACCGACUAAUGUUGAAAAAUUAGCGGAUGACCUGUGGCUGGGGGUGAAAGGCCAAUCAAACCGGGAGAUAGCUGGUUCUCCCCGAAAGCUAUUUAGGUAGCGCCUCGUGAACUCAUCUCCGGGGGUAGAGCACUGUUUCGGCUAGGGGGCCAUCCCGGCUUACCAACCCGAUGCAAACUGCGAAUACCGGAGAAUGUUAUCACGGGAGACACACGGCGGGUGCUAACGUCCGUCGUGAAGAGGGAAACAACCCAGACCGCCAGCUAAGGUCCCAAAGUCAUGGUUAAGUGGGAAACGAUGUGGGAAGGCCCAGACAGCCAGGAUGUUGGCUUAGAAGCAGCCAUCAUUUAAAGAAAGCGUAAUAGCUCACUGGUCGAGUCGGCCUGCGCGGAAGAUGUAACGGGGCUAAACCAUGCACCGAAGCUGCGGCAGCGAACGUAUCACUUAAAGCGAUUCAGCGGGUUACGAUUGACGGAGCGAAGCGACGUCAAAGCGUAUACAAAGUCGAGUCGGUUUAAGGAUACGUUCGUUGGGUAGGGGAGCGUUCUGUAAGCCUGUGAAGGUGGCCUGUGAGGGUUGCUGGAGGUAUCAGAAGUGCGAAUGCUGACAUAAGUAACGAUAAAGCGGGUGAAAAGCCCGCUCGCCGGAAGACCAAGGGUUCCUGUCCAACGUUAAUCGGGGCAGGGUGAGUCGACCCCUAAGGCGAGGCCGAAAGGCGUAGUCGAUGGGAAACGGGUUAAUAUUCCCGUACUUGGUGUUACUGCGAAGGGGGGACGGAGAAGGC
RNAcentral lists this ribosomal RNA (851 nucleotides) under Salmonella enterica subsp. enterica serovar Kentucky. Its description in RNAcentral is "partial 23S ribosomal RNA". It matches the Rfam family "Bacterial large subunit ribosomal RNA", at positions 711 to 1482 of the family's 2925-position model. The record is from RNAcentral. Lineage: Bacteria; Pseudomonadati; Pseudomonadota; Gammaproteobacteria; Enterobacterales; Enterobacteriaceae.